AGGGUUUGAUCCUGGCUCAGAGCGAACGCUGGCGGCGUGGUUUAGGCAUGCAAGUCGAGCGCGAAAGUUCCCUUCGGGGGAUGAGUAGAGCGGCGAAAGGGUGAGUAAUGCAUAGGCAACCUACCCCUGACUCCGGUAUAGCGUCUGGAAACGGGCGGUAAUCCCGGAUGGUCCCGAUGACAGGAAUCUGUUUUCGGGUAAAGAUGGGGAUCUUCGGACCUUUCGGUCGGGGAGGGGCCUAUGUCCCAUCAGCUUGUUGGUGAGGUUACGGCUCACCAAGGCGAUAACGGGUAGCCGGACUGAGAGGUUGGCCGGUCACACUGGGACUGAGACACUGCCCAGACUCCUACGGGAGGCUGCAGUCGAGAAUCAUUCACAAUGCGCGAAAGCGUGAUGAUGCGACGCCGCGUGGAGGAUGAAGGCCUUAGGGUUGUAAACUCUUGUCACGGGUUAUGAAACGUAGCGCGUUAAUAGCGUGCUGCCUGACAAAGGCCCGAGAGGAAGUCACGGCUAACUCCGUGCCAGCAGCCGCGGUAAUACGGAGGUGGCAAGCGUUGCUCGGAAUCACUGGGCAUAAAGGGCGUCUAGGCGGAUUGGUUAGUCGGUUGUGGAAGCCCUCGGCCUAACCGAGGAAGUGCAACCGAUACUGCCAGUCUUGAGGGCGAUAGGGGAGAGUGGAACUCCUGGUGGAGCGGUGAAAUGCGUAGAUAUCAGGAGGAACGCCGGUGGCGAAAGCGACUCUCUGGAUCGUCCCUGACGCUGAAGCGCGAAAGCUAGGGUAGCGAACGGGAUUAGAUACCCCGGUAGUCCUAGCCGUAAACGAUGGGCACUAAGUAGUGGCGUUUUCGAUGACGUCACUGCCGUAGCUAAUGUGUUAAGUGCCCCGCCUGGGGAGUAAGGUCGCAAGGCUAAAACUCAAAGGAAUUGACGGGGGCUCACACAAGCGGUGGAGGAUGUUGCUUAAUUCGAAUCAACGCGAAGAACCUUACCUGGACUUGACAUCGCGGUGGUAGAACCCUGAAAGGGGAACGACCCGGGGCAACCCGGGAGCCGUGACAGGUGUUGCAUGGCUGUCGUCAGCUCGUGCCGUGAGGUGUUGGGUUAAGUCCCGUAACGAGCGAAACCCUUAUCGUUAGUUGCCAGCGGGUAAUGCCGGGGACUCUAGCGAGACUGCCGGUGUCAAACCGGAGGAAGGUGGGGAU
This 1202-nucleotide ribosomal RNA is filed under the name metagenome. RNAcentral describes it as "bacterial SSU rRNA". It matches the Rfam family "Bacterial small subunit ribosomal RNA", at positions 8 to 1180 of the family's 1533-position model. The record is from RNAcentral.